GUAAGGGUUCGGUCUGCCUCCGCUACGUUCUCAUUGGAUAGAGUGAGGAGAUUUGUGGGCGUGAAUCGGUCCCUCCUCCUACAAACCCACUGUCGGAUGCCAGGAGGACAAGGCGAGCCUUGAUUCAAGGAGUAUUUAAGGUAAAAGCCAAGCACCUGAGGGUACACCAGCACAGACGGUUUCACCAUCAACUGAGAAUGUAGAUAUCAGAUGCUGAGAGGCUCAAGUCUACAACAGAGAGUAUGGCUGCAUGCAUGAUGAGUUCUCAGAGCAAUGACUGCUCGUCUCAUCUGGGGGACUGCACAGUGAAGACAAGCAAUGGCUGGAUGCCCACAUUCUCAGACACGUGGACCAACUGGUGGUGCAUGU
Molecule: long non-coding RNA, 369 nt
Organism: Anguilla anguilla (European eel)
Lineage: Eukaryota; Metazoa; Chordata; Actinopteri; Anguilliformes; Anguillidae
Exons: 3
Source: RefSeq, a predicted model, not a curated record